Long non-coding RNA from Daktulosphaira vitifoliae (grape phylloxera), 2109 nucleotides. RefSeq lists it as uncharacterized. NCBI's taxonomy places the organism in Eukaryota, Metazoa, Arthropoda, Insecta, Hemiptera, Phylloxeridae. The record is from RefSeq and is a predicted model, not a curated record. The transcript is spliced from 4 exons.
GCUACAAGAAUUUGUGACGUGUUUUAUUUUACAUUACAUAGUACGCCAUCAAUUAGUCAACCACUUAAUACUGUAAUGAGAAAAAAAUAACUAAUUUUUUAAUUUAAACUUUAUUACUUGACAUAGGUAUUUUAUUAUAAUAAGUGUAUUUCUCAUACAUUACGUAUAAAAUCAAUUAAUCAGAAUGAAUUAUAACAUCUUUGUAUUUAUCUUGGCAGUGAACGUAUCGAGUCAACAGAAAAAGUAUGAUAAAGGGUAUGCAAUUAACUUUUUAAAUUCAUUUUUACAAAAAACCAGGUGGGAAUUUUUAUCAGAUUCAGGUAUGCAUGACCAUAUAAGCAAGUGUUGGAUUACGACGAAUGAACUACUAAUACAUAAAUAUAAUUAUAGUAAAGAUCCGAUCGUCGAUAAAAAUAAUGUUAAUCAAAAGUUAAGAGAAACAAUGGUACUUAUUAAUCAUGAGUACAUAAGAAGUUUAGAUUGAAUCAUUUAUCACGUACAACGUAUUAUUAGUGCUUGUUUUUCGAAAAAUUAUAUUAAGACUUCAGUAGAUUACCCGUAUUGUAUUAGUUUAUUAUUACCAAGUAUUGAGAUUUGCACAAAUCUCAUUUCACGUUUUAUUAGUGCAAUACAUUUUCUAAUGAAUUUGUUAAAUAUUAAAACCAAUCCAUUUGCUUUAGAUGAAUUAAUAAAAUUUGUUAGAUUGAUAAGCAGAGAAAUAAAUGAAAAUGACGAUGCAUAUGUGAUUCGAAUGCAGUAUAACUUCCAUGACGAGUACGAUACGAGUAAUUGUAAUUUUAUCGAAAUAUUUCAAAAUUAUUGCAUUGGUCAAAGAUAUGGUGAUACAAAUCGUGAUAAUGACGAUUUUAAUAGGUAUAUAAAGAAAAAUAAUUUAACUAAAACGUUUCAAAUGUAUGAAUUUAUGGAAGUUUACUUAAGAAAUGGUAUCGAAGAUACGGAAAAAAAAUUGUACUUUAAUCUGGGCUUUUUUUAUGAUGAAGUAAAAAAUGAAACUUCUUAUGUUCAUGGAUGCGAAAUUCAAAAGAAAAAAAAAAAAAUAUUAUGGUUUAAUUGUUAAAUUGUUAGCGACUUAGCUCAAAUAAACGAUUUUUAACACAUGUAAAAUUAAAAAAUUUAAAUAUAUCCAUAAAUUUGAAUUAAUAACUGUAUCAACAUUUUUAUCAGGAUUAGCAAUAAACACGUAUAAAAUGUUUUUCGUUACAUGUAAUAAACAUUACGUAUAAUAAUUUUAAGACUUUCAUUCUCCUUUUAUAGUGCUGGGACAAAAAAAACCCUCGUCAAAAAUCAAAAAAUUUCAAUGAAAAUUUCAAGAUUUUUUUGGAUUAUCUCUAGACAGAUUCGUGGUUUACAUGAUUAAAUUUACAAUUAUUUACUGUUGUUGAUGUUACUUUCCAAACCUUUUCACUGACUUUGUUAAAUUUUGUAUCAUUAUGAUAUGAUACAGUUGAGUACACGGCUAUUUAGUGUCUUUGUUUUGCCCGUCCCAUCGAUAUGUGUCUGACCAUUGUAAAGCAAGUGGACGAGUUUCACGCGACUUGUUAAACGAGUCAUUAUUCAUACGAAAUUAAACGCUCGCUCGAAUAUCGUUGAUAACAAAGUGACGGUAUAGUAUCAUUUUUUUUUCGUUUUUGUGUUCUUUUGAACUAUUGCAAAUAGGUGUAUAUACACUCAUAGUAUCACACAUGGGUUCUUUACAUAAUAUGAAGCGAUACUCAAAAUACACUACUUUUUAGACUAGACUAACCUUCGUUUCCUGUCGUUCUGCUUCUGCCAUUUGCAAGACACACAAUCUUGUUGCGAACCAGGUCGCUGCCAUCUGUGGAUAAACAGCUAACCUAUAUUGUAUUAUUGUAAAUUAUUAUGAAUUAAUCUGUUGAUGUAUAUUCCCAUUUUAGUUAACUUGUAUUAACAUUAGUUUAAGAAUAUUUUAUGUUUUGUAUAAUAUGUUUACAUAGAAAUAUUAACGAAUAACUCUAAACAUCUCUCACAAUUUUCUUUAUUAUAUAUAUAUAUCUACUCAUAACACUUAAGUAGUGUUCUCCUUUUAAACACUCAAACAGAUACUUUGAUUUAAAAUAUGUUAUUUAA